Non-coding RNA from Rattus norvegicus (Norway rat), 628 nucleotides. The record is from RefSeq and is a predicted model, not a curated record. Lineage: Eukaryota; Metazoa; Chordata; Mammalia; Rodentia; Muridae.
UGUUUGGUGUUUUCCUCUGGCCUCAGAGAUGUGUGCAGUGUGCAGUCUCUUCUGGUUUCCCAAGCGUGUCUGCCUCUCUGUAGGUUUAGCUCUCCCUCCCACGGGAUUUGGGUGCAGAGAACUGUUUAUCCGGUGAAGUUCUGGAGAAAAUACUGAAAAUGUCCACAUCAGCCACCAGAUGUCAGCUCUGGUUACGCACACAUAGCAUGAAUGAGUAGCAAGCUGUAGUACACUUAUCAAUGAAUCAAUAUCUGUUUAUGUCUUGUGCUUUUUGACUAGUUAUAAUAGUCACUUACUCCUUUGUUCUUAAGGGCAUGAAGAGUUCUCUUUAGAGCAAUUGUCUCAUAACAAAGAAAUUUCUAUGUAUGGAAUUGCCAUUUAUUACCAUGUGUGAUGAAGAGAGGAGAGUUGAGUUUGGAAUUACUACCAAAUAAAACUGUCAGCCAUCUUCUUCCCAGCUUUGAUGACUGCAUUAAAUAUUGAUUAAGAUUUUGUUUUCACAAAGGUAUCAGGAUGAAAGCAUGGGAAAGGUGCUCGGUAUAUUCGCAGUUUAAAAAAGGGUAAACCAAUGUCACUGGUACUAUUUAUAAUUCAAACACAUUGUUAGGGAAGCCAUGGUGACCUUAAG